RNAcentral lists this ribosomal RNA (292 nucleotides) under uncultured bacterium. RNAcentral's name for it is "partial 16S ribosomal RNA". It matches the Rfam family "Bacterial small subunit ribosomal RNA", at positions 505 to 796 of the family's 1533-position model. The record is from RNAcentral.
GUGCCAGCAGCCGCGGUAAUACGGAGGGUGCGAGCGUUGUCCGGAAUCACUGGGCGUAAAGGGCGCGUAGGCGGCCCGUUAAGUGGCUGGUGAAAUCCCGCGGCUCAACUGCGGGGCUGCCGGUCAGACUGGCGAGCUAGAGCACGGUAGGGGCAGAUGGAAUUCCCGGUGUAGCGGUGGAAUGCGUAGAGAUCGGGAAGAAUACCAGUGGCGAAGGCGUUCUGCUGGGCCGUUGCUGACGCUGAGGCGCGACAGCGUGGGGAGCAAACAGGAUUAGAAACCCCAGUAGUCC